GGUUAAGCGACUAAGCGUACACGGUGGAUGCCCUGGCAGUCAGAGGCGAUGAAGGACGUGCUAAUCUGCGAUAAGCGUCGGUAAGGUGAUAUGAACCGUUAUAACCGGCGAUUUCCGAAUGGGGAAACCCAGUGUGAUUCGUCACACUAUCAUUAACUGAAUCCAUAGGUUAAUGAGGCGAACCGGGGGAACUGAAACAUCUAAGUACCCCGAGGAAAAGAAAUCAACCGAGAUUCCCCCAGUAGCGGCGAGCGAACGGGGAGGAGCCCAGAGCCUGAAUCAGUGUGUGUGUUAGUGGAAGCGUCUGGAAAGGCGCGCGAUACAGGGUGACAGCCCCGUACACAAAAAUGCACAUGCUGUGAGCUCGAUGAGUAGGGCGGGACACGUGGUAUCCUGUCUGAAUAUGGGGGGACCAUCCUCCAAGGCUAAAUACUCCUGACUGACCGAUAGUGAACCAGUACCGUGAGGGAAAGGCGAAAAGAACCCCGGCGAGGGGAGUGAAAAAGAACCUGAAACCGUGUACGUACAAGCAGUGGGAGCACGCUUAGGCGUGUGACUGCGUACCUUUUGUAUAAUGGGUCAGCGACUUAUAUUCUGUAGCAAGGUUAACCGAAUAGGGGAGCCGAAGGGAAACCGAGUCUUAACUGGGCGUUAAGUUGCAGGGUAUAGACCCGAAACCCGGUGAUCUAGCCAUGGGCAGGUUGAAGGUUGGGUAACACUAACUGGAGGACCGAACCGACUAAUGUUGAAAAAUUAGCGGAUGACUUGUGGCUGGGGGUGAAAGGCCAAUCAAACCGGGAGAUAGCUGGUUCUCCCCGAAAGCUAUUUAGGUAGCGCCUCGUGAAUUCAUCUCCGGGGGUAGAGCACUGUUUCGGCAAGGGGGUCAUCCCGACUUACCAACCCGAUGCAAACUGCGAAUACCGGAGAAUGUUAUCACGGGAGACACACGGCGGGUGCUAACGUCCGUCGUGAAGAGGGAAACAACCCAGACCGCCAGCUAAGGUCCCAAAGUCAUGGUUAAGUGGGAAACGAUGUGGGAAGGCCCAGACAGCCAGGAUGUUGGCUUAGAAGCAGCCAUCAUUUAAAGAAAGCGUAAUAGCUCACUGGUCGAGUCGGCCUGCGCGGAAGAUGUAACGGGGCUAAACCAUGCACCGAAGCUGCGGCAGCGACGCUUAUGCGUUGUUGGGUAGGGGAGCGUUCUGUAAGCCUGUGAAGGUGUGCUGUGAGGCAUGCUGGAGGUAUCAGAAGUGCGAAUGCUGACAUAAGUAACGAUAAAGCGGGUGAAAAGCCCGCUCGCCGGAAGACCAAGGGUUCCUGUCCAACGUUAAUCGGGGCAGGGUGAGUCGACCCCUAAGGCGAGGCCGAAAGGCGUAGUCGAUGGGAAACAGGUUAAUAUUCCUGUACUUGGUGUUACUGCGAAGGGGGGACGGAGAAGGCUAUGUUGGCCGGGCGACGGUUGUCCCGGUUUAAGCGUGUAGGCUGGUUUUCCAGGCAAAUCCGGAAAAUCAAGGCUGAGGCGUGAUGACGAGGCACUACGGUGCUGAAGCAACAAAUGCCCUGCUUCCAGGAAAAGCCUCUAAGCAUCAGGUAACAUCAAAUCGUACCCCAAACCGACACAGGUGGUCAGGUAGAGAAUACCAAGGCGCUUGAGAGAACUCGGGUGAAGGAACUAGGCAAAAUGGUGCCGUAACUUCGGGAGAAGGCACGCUGAUAUGUAGGUGAAGUCCCUCGCGGAUGGAGCUGAAAUCAGUCGAAGAUACCAGCUGGCUGCAACUGUUUAUUAAAAACACAGCACUGUGCAAACACGAAAGUGGACGUAUACGGUGUGACGCCUGCCCGGUGCCGGAAGGUUAAUUGAUGGGGUCAGCGCAAGCGAAGCUCUUGAUCGAAGCCCCGGUAAACGGCGGCCGUAACUAUAACGGUCCUAAGGUAGCGAAAUUCCUUGUCGGGUAAGUUCCGACCUGCACGAAUGGCGUAAUGAUGGCCAGGCUGUCUCCACCCGAGACUCAGUGAAAUUGAACUCGCUGUGAAGAUGCAGUGUACCCGCGGCAAGACGGAAAGACCCCGUGAACCUUUACUAUAGCUUGACACUGAACAUUGAGCCUUGAUGUGUAGGAUAGGUGGGAGGCUUAGAAGUGUGGACGCCAGUCUGCAUGGAGCCGACCUUGAAAUACCACCCUUUAAUGUUUGAUGUUCUAACGUUGACCCGUAAUCCGGGUUGCGGACAGUGUCUGGUGGGUAGUUUGACUGGGGCGGUCUCCUCCUAAAGAGUAACGGAGGAGCACGAAGGUUGGCUAAUCCUGGUCGGACAUCAGGAGGUUAGUGCAAUGGCAUAAGCCAGCUUGACUGCGAGCGUGACGGCGCGAGCAGGUGCGAAAGCAGGUCAUAGUGAUCCGGUGGUUCUGAAUGGAAGGGCCAUCGCUCAACGGAUAAAAGGUACUCCGGGGAUAACAGGCUGAUACCGCCCAAGAGUUCAUAUCGACGGCGGUGUUUGGCACCUCGAUGUCGGCUCAUCACAUCCUGGGGCUGAAGUAGGUCCCAAGGGUAUGGCUGUUCGCCAUUUAAAGUGGUACGCGAGCUGGGUUUAGAACGUCGUGAGACAGUUCGGUCCCUAUCUGCCGUGGGCGCUGGAGAACUGAGGGGGGCUGCUCCUAGUACGAGAGGACCGGAGUGGACGCAUCACUGGUGUUCGGGUUGUCAUGCCAAUGGCACUGCCCGGUAGCUAAAUGCGGAAGAGAUAAGUGCUGAAAGCAUCUAAGCACGAAACUUGCCCCGAGAUGAGUUCUCCCUGACCCUUUAAGGGUCCUGAAGGAACGUUGAAGACGACGACGUUGAUAGGCCGGGUGUGUAAGCGCAGCGAUGCGUUGAGCUAACCGGUACUAAUGAACCGUGAGGCUUAACCUU
This 2904-nucleotide ribosomal RNA is filed under the name Escherichia coli. RNAcentral's name for it is "23S ribosomal RNA". It matches the Rfam family "Bacterial large subunit ribosomal RNA". The record is from RNAcentral. RNAcentral also lists the same sequence under 1 other name. Lineage: Bacteria; Pseudomonadati; Pseudomonadota; Gammaproteobacteria; Enterobacterales; Enterobacteriaceae.